This is a long non-coding RNA of Lathyrus oleraceus (garden pea), 780 nucleotides long. RefSeq lists it as uncharacterized. The record is from RefSeq and is a predicted model, not a curated record. Lineage: Eukaryota; Viridiplantae; Streptophyta; Magnoliopsida; Fabales; Fabaceae. The transcript is spliced from 2 exons.
UCCAGGUUGGACCUCAACUGACCCGACCCUUACAACAACAAAAUAAAAAGUUAAUCUAAAAUAACCCUAAAAUCUAAAACAAUUGUAUUCACUCAUUUCUCUUCCAACCACUCCCUUUCUCUUUUCUCCCUGUACAUGCAACCUUAACGCGCAUCUAUGGCAAAAAGGAAAAAUAUCACGAAAACGAAAACUUGAAAAAAUUACGAUCUCUCUCUCGUAAGUUCUUCCUCUCUUCUCCCUUCGAAAUCGUUCCCUUCAACAAUCUAUACUCUGAGAUUUAAAAAAAAAAAACUCUUUGGUGAAGCAUAACCAAACCUACAUCCUCAUCCUACACCAAACACGUAUUGGCCAAGCAUCAACGCAACAACAUAAAAAUUAAAAAACAGAAGUAGAAUUGUACAUUUUACAUAAACAUAAGCGAAUCAAAUAGACAAAAAAAUGGAAAUGGUUUCAACGUAUUCUGAGAAAGAAAACAAAAGCGGACUACCUACACGAGAAGUAAUUACGACGCAAGCUUCAGGUCUCAAGAUAUCAAGAGAAAGCAAUGUUCAAAUGGAAGAUGGAAGAUGUUUCUUGUCUUAGGUCUUGUUCUUCUCUUUUGAUGAAGAUCAAAGUGGUCUUGGUUGAAAAAAUGUAAAAAAACAAAUGUAACAUAACCUAACUUGAAUAGGUUAAGUCAUUAUUGUAACUCAUGUUGAUAUCAUUUGGUAUGUAAUGGGGAUCUUUAAAGAUAUAUCCUUUUUUUGACAAUUGGGAAUACACUAGCUUUAUUCGAAUCCA